Molecule: long non-coding RNA, 2919 nt
Organism: Herpailurus yagouaroundi (jaguarundi)
Lineage: Eukaryota; Metazoa; Chordata; Mammalia; Carnivora; Felidae
Exons: 2
Source: RefSeq, a predicted model, not a curated record
CUCCUGAAACCAAUAUUACCCUAUAUGUUAACUAACAAGAAUUUAAAUAAAAACUUGAAACAGCAAAAAAAAAAAAUGUUACAGCAACAUGUAAGAGCUAGCUUCGUAAAAGCUAGAAUGUUAACAGAUACCUUGCAAAAGUUUCAUGUGCAAUUGCUAAGAUUUAAUUAUUUAAGAUAUUUCUCUUAGUACUUUAAUUAGGCUUCUUUAAAGACCAUGGGUAUUCAUUCAGAGUGAGCCAGAUUGGAACUUUGAGAUUUGGUCAAUGAGAAUAUUUUUCUUAUGUAAGAGCCAGCAGUGUUUGAGGAUGAGUAUGAGAGCAAUGAAUCUUCAAACAGAAGUGAGUUGGUGGGGGGGGGGGGCAUUUUUCCCCUUCACUACCACCUCCAGUAUCGUAGUGGAGGCAGGGGACCGUGUGGUUUGAAAACAAAAUAUCACUUUGUUCCAUUGCUUUGAUUCAGUGAGAAUAACAAAAUUCAUUUUGUUCUGAAUUUUAAAUAACAUUAAAAGAAAGCAUGAGAUUUUGGUAACUUUCAAAAGAGGACAUGAGUUUCAAAAAUGCGAAAAACACUUUGCUAGAGAGAACUUCUCAUUCUUUUUAGAUUGUUUGCCUUCUGAUGUACUAGAUCACAGAAGCAUAGACAUUAGAGUUGCUUCUAGUAGGGUCACUGAGAAAAACAGGGCAUCUCACUUAUUACUGGAAGACUUUUAUAAAAUAAAAUAUAAUGAAAACAUUCAUGCAUAAAUUAAGUUUCUCCAGUAACCAAGGAAUCGAUUUUGAAACCUCUAAGGACAAAUAACGUAGCUUCGGACAAAAGUAGAAUGUUAUCUGAACCAUCUUUAAUCAGCUUAUUUGGACCUUUCUGUGUACAGUUGGGUCAUUUUCUGGUACUUGGUCAUUCUGGUAUUUUUAUGGCUUUUGGUCAGUUUGGUAAUAAUUCAGUAAAGCUCGGUAUUUUCAAACAACUCAUGGUUUCUUCCUGCACAAGGUGGUUUUAUAAUAGGUGUCAAAUUUUUGCAUAGGUCUCUGAUCUUUUCUGCUAUAUUGUGUUAAGUGUGGAUGUAUACUCACCUUCCUUUUCUCUUGUGGAAUUAAGCUGCCUUUUAUAAAAUGGAGGCACCUUAUAAAUAUCUCCAUUCCUGCCCUGUCACUCCUAAUGCCAAUCUGUUUCCUUCACAGUGGGCUAUCACCUGGCUUUUUCUAAAAGGACCAUGCCUUUCCACUCUCCAAUUCAGAAGUAAAAUAAAAUAUGUGAGAGCCAUGUGAUCAGGGAGGGGCAAAGGAAAGAAGUGACAUUUGCUGGGUACCUCUGAUGGUCUGCACAAUGGCUGGGCCUUCCACAUGUGACCUUAUUUCAUCUAGGUAGAUACUAAGGACAUUACAUCCACUGUAUUUAUAUGAUAGUAUCAAUUCAGUUCCAGGCUCUUUGAAGGUACCUUCCAAAGAAAAUUUUUGUGAUUUGGUUUGUGUGUAAUUAAGAGAUAGAAUCUGUUUGUUCUAGUUGUACAUGUACAUGUUGACACGUCAUGGUUGGUUCAUGCAAUGGAGAGUGAGGGGCAGAAUGUCUCCAGAACUGCAUUGUUUCCGGGUGUUGAUACAGUGAGGGCCAUUUGGAUGGCAUAUGGAAAUCCAGAGGCAGCCUAAAUCAGUUCUCAGCUUGGUGGGCGAUGCCUGGUGCCCGAUGACACACUGAAUAGACAAGGAAUAAAUUUCGAUAUUUUAGCCACCUGGUUAACUAGAUGUUAUCUUAAUACUCCUUAGUGCCUUUCCCCAUAUUGACUACAGUUUCCCUUUAAGUCCAUUUGUCACAACAAACCAAGUAAACCCAACUUUAGAGUCCGAGUCUGGCUUGUCAUGAUGUAGGACUAUCGGAAGGGAGAGUAGUAUGGUUCGUGGUUCAGAGCGCUGACUCUGGGGAGAAGCUGCCUGGGUAGGAAUCCUAAUCCUACCAUACACUGCCUUUGUGGCCUUGGAUAAGUUUAUUUAACUGGGAAUAUUCAAUUAUUUUCAGCUGUAAAAUGAGUAUAAUAGUAGCAUCUACAGUUGUACACCUGAAACUUAAAUGUUGUAUGUCAAUUAUACGUCAAUAAGAAAAAUAAUUUAUAAUAACAACAAAAAAAAGUAGCACCUACAAUGCAUGUAAAGUACAAAACAGUGCCUGGUAUGUUUUUAGUGCUCAAUUGGCACUGAUGUAAUAAUAAUGAUAAUAAUAAUAAUAAUAUCAACAACACAAAUUAUUGUUAAAACAAGAGCCUUAAUAAGAAUAAAUCAAUUCUGUGAUUUCAUGGUGGCAAGCUUUGUUAAAAGUGCGUCCUCUUGACUUUCCAUUUAAUGAUAAUUUAUGCAUUUAAUAAUCUUAAUUGUCAGGAAACUUUUCCUUAUUUUUAACCUAAAUCCUGAAUGCUAUAGAUAGGUUCUCAUUCGUCUUGAACUAUCUGUGGAGAUUGUUUUCCUUGGAGUCUUCAUUUUCUAUAAAAUUUUCUCCAUCCUUCCCAGAAGGCCCAAAUUUCAUUAGAUUUUUGGACGACAUGGAAUGUAAGUUUAACCCUUGCAAAAGCCUCAUUUUAGUCUAUUUUGGCACCUCAAAUAAAUUCUUUAGAAGAAAUCUGUGUUCUUUCCUUUCAAUGUUCAUGGUCAUUUUAUAAUGGAAUGAGCCAUAUGGAUCUAAGUGUAUCACAAAAUAAUUCUUGCCAAGGGCAGUUUGCCUGAAAGACAAAGUUAAAUCUAUUUAAUGGAAUAUUUUGGAAAAGAGACAAAGAAAAGUAAUGUUGGUCCAAGAUUUUGUUUUGGGCACAUUUGGGGGACAAAGUUAUUUUACAGGAACCGGUUUUAUUUUUCUUAUUCUUUCCUUAAUGUGGUUGCAUAAUUCAUGUUCAUGUUAAGUGUUAUUAAAAUAAAUGUAACUAUUUUAAAUUUGA